Molecule: ribosomal RNA, 444 nt
Filed under: uncultured bacterium
Lineage: Bacteria
Description: SSU rRNA
Rfam family: Bacterial small subunit ribosomal RNA
Source: RNAcentral
AGAACGAACGCUGGCGGCAGGCCUAACACAUGCAAGUCGAGCGCUGUAGCAAUACAGAGCGGCGCACGGGAGAGUAACGCGUGGGAAUCUACCUUUUGGUUCGGAAUAACACCGGGAAACUGGUGCUAAUACCGGAUAAGCCCUUCGGGGGAAAGAUUUAUUGCCAAAAGAUGAGCCCGCGUUGGAUUAGCUAGUUGGUGAGGUAAAAGCUCACCAAGGCAACGAUCCAUAGCUGGUCUGAGAGGAUGAUCAGCCUCACUGGGACUGAGACACGGCCCAGACUCCUACGGGAGGCAGCAGUGGGAAUAUUGGACAAUGGGGGAAACCCUGAUCCAGCCAUGCCGCGUGAAUGAUGAAGGCCUUCGGGUUGUAAAGUUCUUUGACAGGGAAGAUGAUGACGGUACCUGUAGAAUAAGCUCCGGCUAACUUCGCGCCAGCAGCCGC